UCACGCACAAACAGGACACAAUGUGAACAUAAAGAGAGAAAGAGAACGCUUAUAUAUCUUUCAUCCGUACAUAUUUUUUGUAUGUGCUAACUCUAUAUACUUGAAAAUGAUGCAUAUGCCUCUCCAAGGAGAAUUGUAGCUCUAAGUCCUUGAUUCUUCAAUAAUUUUAUGAUCAAAAUAAAAAGCUUAAUAAAGUGGAGAAGAUUAUUCACAGUAACUGACUGAAUUUGUCCUCUGGAAGUGCAUCGCAUGGGAAUCAUGUCAAUUCAAAAUCUGAACCAUAUUCAAAUUUAAUCAUAUAAGAUGUCAUGCAAUCUCUCAUUUCUUCUAACACUACCUUUAAAACACAACUCACUCAAAUGAUUUCACUCGUAAAUAACUACCCGCAAACCAAGGAACCAAAAGUCACAAACUAAAACAAACCAUGAUACACAACACAUGAUGCUGAACCACACCGCACUGAUCCGCUAACUUCUCAUCGGGAAAAUAGUGAGAUUGAGGUAUACACUAAGCCAUGAAAACACCAAAGCAAAUCUAUUCUCCUCAAGGGCAACCUCAAACAAUCUUAAAAUACUGAUUCCUAACCAAAAUUAAAGAGGGAUAAUAAUUCAUGACACAACAUGCUAAACAAAGAACUUGUGAACAAUGGAUCCUAAUUCGAAUCAGUAGGAUAAAAUGAUGUAUAUAGCUUUCUUACCACUUCCACUAUCAAAUGAUCAAAUAUCCAAAUUCAUUAUUAAAUGUAAACUGAACCUACUUGAAAUUUAGAGGAAAAUUGAACCUGAAAACUUAAUAUAAUUGAAUUUUUUUUUCAGAUAUUGAUCAACCUAGUAUAUGUAGAGAAAAAACCAAAUAAAAUUGCAUACAAAUUAAUAAAAAUCACAAUGCAACUUCAUAAAGGUGAUUAACAAUUACAACAUAACUACAUGUCUUUCCUCAAUGCAUAUUCACUUGAUCUUAUAACUUUAAAAGAAAUCUAUCUCUAAGUUGAAUCAUCACUAUAAACUCAAUGAAUAUGUUAGUUGCUCAAUGUUUCAAAAAUGUAUUUUUGGAGUCAAAG
Molecule: long non-coding RNA, 1060 nt
Filed under: Trifolium pratense (red clover)
Lineage: Eukaryota; Viridiplantae; Streptophyta; Magnoliopsida; Fabales; Fabaceae
Description: long non-coding RNA (TPRA_LNC006852)
Source: RNAcentral